GUUUCAAUUCCUCAUAGGCAGGCUAUCGGCCGUACGCAAUCCGGUCCGCUUGGCUUGACGUUAGUUG
This 67-nucleotide small RNA is filed under the name Acididesulfobacillus acetoxydans. RNAcentral's name for it is "Peptococcaceae bacterium INE non-coding RNA". Lineage: Bacteria; Bacillati; Bacillota; Clostridia; Eubacteriales; Peptococcaceae. The record is from RNAcentral.